This 1157-nucleotide ribosomal RNA is filed under the name Salmonella enterica subsp. enterica serovar Kottbus. Its description in RNAcentral is "partial 23S ribosomal RNA". It matches the Rfam family "Bacterial large subunit ribosomal RNA", at positions 1 to 1190 of the family's 2925-position model. Lineage: Bacteria; Pseudomonadati; Pseudomonadota; Gammaproteobacteria; Enterobacterales; Enterobacteriaceae. The record is from RNAcentral.
GGGUUGUGAGGUUAAGCGACUAAGCGUACACGGUGGAUGCCCUGGCAGUCAGAGGCGAUGAAGGACGUGCUAAUCUGCGAUAAGCGCCGGUAAGGUGAUAUGAACCGUUAUAACCGGCGAUUUCCGAAUGGGGAAACCCAGUGUGAUUCGUCACACUAUCAUUAACUGAAUCCAUAGGUUAAUGAGGCGAACCGGGGGAACUGAAACAUCUAAGUACCCCGAGGAAAAGAAAUCAACCGAGAUUCCCCCAGUAGCGGCGAGCGAACGGGGAGGAGCCCAGAGCCUGAAUCAGCAUGUGUGUUAGUGGAAGCGUCUGGAAAGGCGCGCGAUACAGGGUGACAGCCCCGUACACAAAAGCGCAUGUGCUGUGAGCUCGAUGAGUAGGGCGGGACACGUGGUAUCCUGUCUGAAUAUGGGGGGACCAUCCUCCAAGGCUAAAUACUCCUGACUGACCGAUAGUGAACCAGUACCGUGAGGGAAAGGCGAAAAGAACCCCGGCGAGGGGAGUGAAAAAGAACCUGAAACCGUGUACGUACAAGCAGUGGGAGCACCCUUUGGGGUGUGACUGCGUACCUUUUGUAUAAUGGGUCAGCGACUUAUAUUCUGUAGCAAGGUUAACCGUAUAGGGGAGCCGUAGGGAAACCGAGUCUUAACCGGGCGUUAAGUUGCAGGGUAUAGACCCGAAACCCGGUGAUCUAGCCAUGGGCAGGUUGAAGGUUGGGUAACACUAACUGGAGGACCGAACCGACUAAUGUUGAAAAAUUAGCGGAUGACCUGUGGCUGGGGGUGAAAGGCCAAUCAAACCGGGAGAUAGCUGGUUCUCCCCGAAAGCUAUUUAGGUAGCGCCUCGUGAAUUCAUCUCCGGGGGUAGAGCACUGUUUCGGCUAGGGGGCCAUCCCGGCUUACCAACCCGAUGCAAACUGCGAAUACCGGAGAAUGUUAUCACGGGAGACACACGGCGGGUGCUAACGUCCGUCGUGAAGAGGGAAACAACCCAGACCGCCAGCUAAGGUCCCAAAGUCAUGGUUAAGUGGGAAACGAUGUGGGAAGGCCCAGACAGCCAGGAUGUUGGCUUAGAAGCAGCCAUCAUUUAAAGAAAGCGUAAUAGCUCACUGGUCGAGUCGGCCUGCGCGGAAGAUGUAACGGGGCUAAACCAU